RNAcentral lists this transfer RNA (66 nucleotides) under Stegodyphus mimosarum. It matches the Rfam family "tRNA". From Rfam's summary of the family: Transfer RNA (tRNA) molecules are approximately 80 nucleotides in length. Their secondary structure includes four short double-helical elements and three loops (D, anti-codon, and T loops). The record is from Rfam by way of RNAcentral. Lineage: Eukaryota; Metazoa; Arthropoda; Arachnida; Araneae; Eresidae.
GCCUUCGUGGUGUAGUGGUCAGCACGCUCGGCUUGCAUUCCAGAGGUUCGAGUCCCGGCGAGGGCA